CUUCUAUCAAGGCAAACUGUCUGUGAGGGCAGGGCGCAAAGCUACGGGGCUUAUAGUAAACAUAAAGCAAGCCGGGCUGCCGAG
This is a non-coding RNA of Planctomycetes bacterium RBG_16_43_13, 84 nucleotides long. The record is from Rfam. Lineage: Bacteria; Pseudomonadati; Planctomycetota.